This 89-nucleotide unclassified non-coding RNA is filed under the name Pseudomonas extremorientalis. The record is from RNAcentral. Lineage: Bacteria; Pseudomonadati; Pseudomonadota; Gammaproteobacteria; Pseudomonadales; Pseudomonadaceae.
AUGGGAGGGGGCUUGCCCCCGAUGGCAAUCGGCACAUUCAACGUCUUUGUUGAAUGACACGCCGCUAUCGGGGGCAAGCCCCCUCCCAC